RNAcentral lists this non-coding RNA (45 nucleotides) under Schistosoma margrebowiei. The record is from RNAcentral. Lineage: Eukaryota; Metazoa; Platyhelminthes; Trematoda; Strigeidida; Schistosomatidae.
AUCUAGCUGACGAGUCUCAAAUAGGACGAUACAUGUAUCCUUGAU